Non-coding RNA from Drosophila virilis, 710 nucleotides. Lineage: Eukaryota; Metazoa; Arthropoda; Insecta; Diptera; Drosophilidae. The record is from RefSeq and is a predicted model, not a curated record.
UAAACAUAAUCGAGAAACGGUCGGGCCCUAUGGCAAGAUCUCGUCCAACUGCAUAAAAAGUAACUGUGGGAGCGUUGAGUGUUGUCAUCGAUAAGCUCGAUAGUUUUUCUAUCGAUAGCAUGCGAUAAUACAGGAUUCUUGUGCAGACUGCAAAAAAUUCUUAACGGUUUUUUUUUAGCCAGUCGUUGGUUAUUCAAAAUGCUUAUAUUUAAGAAAAUUCGAGAAACGCAUUUCCAUUGGCAUCGUUCUAACGGGCAUCAUAAGCUGAUAAGCUGACACCGACAGGGCCGCCAGCAGCGGCACGCGGCACGCGGCAGGUGGCCAAGGGGCACUUACUUACGGGCGGCAUACACAAAUGUUACGAUCGAUUCGAGUGUUGACAAACGCAAAAAAAAAAACCGAAGCCAAAGUAAUCCCUUGCACCUGAACUAGUUCUGGGCCUGUGCAAGACGGGCAACCUUAUUUUCGCGGACUUGAAUUGUAUAUACAUGCAUAUAUGGGCAGAUUGGCCAAAUACAAAUCGGCUUACAAAACCGUCAACACAACAACAACAACAACAAAAACAAGAACAACAAUGCCAACAAAACGGAACUAGUUCAAUGACUGUCUGCUGCACGGCCAAUGCAUUUUUUUUUUUUUUUAUUAUUAUUAUUGUUGUAUUACAGUUGCAAUUGCCUAAAGCUGUUAAUUAACGUACCACAUGCUGCACA